This 69-nucleotide transfer RNA is filed under the name Aliger gigas (queen conch). RNAcentral's name for it is "Strombus gigas tRNA-Lys". The record is from RNAcentral. Lineage: Eukaryota; Metazoa; Mollusca; Gastropoda; Littorinimorpha; Strombidae.
UCUUAGAUAACUAGGAUAGUGCUAGACUUUUAAUCUAGAAACGGCAUGAUAUUGGAAUGUCUCUAAGAA